Molecule: ribosomal RNA, 440 nt
Filed under: uncultured beta proteobacterium
Lineage: Bacteria; Pseudomonadati; Pseudomonadota; Betaproteobacteria
Description: bacterial SSU rRNA
Rfam family: Bacterial small subunit ribosomal RNA
Source: RNAcentral
UGAACGCUGGCGGCAUGCUUUACACAUGCAAGUCGAACGGGGUUGAGGGGGCAACUCUCCAUUCAGUGGCGAACGGGUGAGUAAUGCGAUCGGAACGUAUCCCGUAGUGGGGGACAACGCCGCGAAAGCGGCGCUAAUACCGCAUAUGCUCUACGGAGGAAAGUGGGGGACCGCAAGGCCUCACGCUAUGGGAGCGGCCGAUGUCCGAUUAGCUAGUUGGUGGGGUAAUGGCCCACCAAGGCGACGAUCGGUAGCUGGUCUGAGAGGAUGAUCAGCCACACUGGGACUGAGACACGGCCCAGACUCCUACGGGAGGCAGCAGUGGGGAAUAUUGCGCAAUGGGCGAAAGCCUGACGCAGCAACGCCGCGUGAGGGAUGACGGCCUCGGUUGUAACCGUACUUCUAGCAGGAGAAGCGAAAGUGACGGUACCUGCAGAGAA